Molecule: ribosomal RNA, 247 nt
Filed under: uncultured bacterium
Lineage: Bacteria
Description: partial 16S ribosomal RNA
Rfam family: Bacterial small subunit ribosomal RNA
Source: RNAcentral
AUACGAAGGGUGCAAGCGUUACUCGGAAUUACUGGGCGUAAAGCGUGCGCAGGCGGUUCGUUAAGUCUGCUGUGAAAGCCCUGGGCUCAACCUGGGAAUGGCAGUGGAUACUGGCGAGCUAGAGUACGGUAGAGGAAGGUGGAAUUCCCGGUGUAGCGGUGAAAUGCGUAGAGAUCGGGAGGAACACCAGUGGCGAAGGCGACCUUCUGGACCAGUACUGACGCUCAUGCACGAAAGCGUGGGGAGC